GACGGACGCUGGCGGCGUGCUUAACACAUGCAAGUCGAACGGAAAGGCCCUGCUUUUGUGGGGUGCUCGAGUGGCGAACGGGUGAGUAACACGUGAGUAACCUGCCCUUGACUUUGGGAUAACUUCAGGAAACUGGGGCUAAUACCGGAUAGGAGCUCCUGCUGCAUGGUGGGGGUUGGAAAGUUUCGGCGGUUGGGGAUGGACUCGCGGCUUAUCAGCUUGUUGGUGGGGUAGUGGCUUACCAAGGCUUUGACGGGUAGCCGGCCUGGGAGGGUGACCGGCCACAUUGGGACUGAGAUACGGCCCAGACUCCUACGGGAGGCAGCAGUGGGGAAUAUUGCACAAUGGGCGGAAGCCUGAUGCAGCAACGCCGCGUGCGGGAUGACGGCCUUCGGGUUGUAAACCGCUUUCGCCUGUGACGAAGCGUGAGUGACGGUAAUGGGUAAAGAAGCACCGGCUAACUACGUG
This 468-nucleotide ribosomal RNA is filed under the name uncultured bacterium. RNAcentral's name for it is "partial 16S ribosomal RNA". It matches the Rfam family "Bacterial small subunit ribosomal RNA", at positions 28 to 507 of the family's 1533-position model. The record is from RNAcentral.